GCUGGCAUAUUAGCUCUUCUCUACAAACCUCCUCAACCCUCCUGCUUCAAAAAUAAAGAAAUUAUAUGCCAGAUGUCAAGUAAUUAGAUCUAAAUCCUUAAGGAGUCCAGAAGAGAUGCCAACUCCAUUCGGUAUACCCCAAAGUUUUCUGAUGACAAAACUGAAGAUCAGUAAGAUUAAGUGACUUGCUCUCAAGAUCACAAAGGGAGGAGGAACCAAAUUGAUUCCCUCUAAAUUGAUCUGCCCUGUCCAGAUGGUAUGGAUACUAAUGAGUCUUCGAGACUACUUCCAAGAGCAAGGUAAGUGAUUUAAAAGGUGAUUCAAAGGGGUGUGGCUGACACUGGCAAAUGAGC
This 353-nucleotide long non-coding RNA is filed under the name Monodelphis domestica (gray short-tailed opossum). RNAcentral describes it as "lncRNA (ENSMODG00000030245.2)". The record is from RNAcentral. Lineage: Eukaryota; Metazoa; Chordata; Mammalia; Didelphimorphia; Didelphidae.